RNAcentral lists this ribosomal RNA (253 nucleotides) under uncultured bacterium. RNAcentral describes it as "partial 16S ribosomal RNA". It matches the Rfam family "Bacterial small subunit ribosomal RNA", at positions 524 to 776 of the family's 1533-position model. The record is from RNAcentral.
UACAGAGGGUGCGAGCGUUAAUCGGAAUUACUGGGCGUAAAGGGCGCGUAGGCGGUAGAUUAAGAUAGAUGUGAAAUCCCUGGGCUUAACCUAGGAACUGCAUCUGUGACUGAAUUACUAGAGUAUUGUAGAGGGUAGUGGAAUUUCCGGUGUAGCGGUGAAAUGCGUAGAUAUCGGAAGGAACACCAGUGGCGAAAGCGACUUCCUGGUCCAAUACUGACGUUCAUGUGCGAAAGCGUGGGGAGCAAACAGG